GGAUUGGAAAUGGGCGAAAGCCUGAUCCAGCAAUGCCGCGUGGGUGAAGAAGGUCUUCGGAUUGUAAAGCCCUUUCGACGGGGACGAUGAUGACGGUACCCGUAGAAGAAGCCCCGGCUAACUUCGUGCCAGCAGCCGCGGUAAUACGAAGGGGGCUAGCGUUGCUCGGAUUGACUGGGCGUAAAGGGCGCGUAGGCGGUCUGUACAGUUGGGCGUGAAAUUCCUGGGCUUAACCUGGGGGCUGCGUUCAAUACGUGCAGGCUUGAGUUCGGAAGAGGGUCGUGGAAUUCCCAGUGUAGAGGUGAAAUUCGUAGAUAUUGGGAAGAACACCGGUGGCGAAGGCGGCGACCUGGUCCGAUACUGACGCUGAGGCGCGAAAGCGUGGGGAGCAAACAGGAUUAGAUACCCUGGUAGUCCACGCUGUAAACGAUGUGUGCUGGAUGUUGGGUGACUUAGUCACUCAGUGUCGUAGCUAACGCGAUAAGCACACCGCCUGGGGAGUACGGCCGCAAGGUUGAAACUCAAAAGAAUUGACGGA
RNAcentral lists this ribosomal RNA (538 nucleotides) under uncultured bacterium. RNAcentral's name for it is "bacterial SSU rRNA". It matches the Rfam family "Bacterial small subunit ribosomal RNA", at positions 359 to 917 of the family's 1533-position model. The record is from RNAcentral.